AUCGAACGCUGGCGGCAUGCCUUACACAUGCAAGUCGAACGGCAGCAUGAUCUAGCUUGCUAGAUCGAUGGCGAGUGGCGAACGGGUGAGUCAUACAUCGGAACGUGUCCUGUUGUGGGGGAUAACUAGUAGAAAGAUUAGCUAAUACCGCAUACGACCUGAGGGUGAAAGUGGGGGAGCGCAAGGCCUCAUGCUAUAGGAGCGGCCGAUGUCUGAUUAGCUAGUUGAUGAGGUAAAGGCUCACCAAGGCGACGAUCAGUAGCUGGUCUGAGAGGAGGAUCGGCCACCCUAGAACUGGAACAGGGCCCAGACUCCUACGGGACGCAGCAGUGGGGAAUUUUAGACAAUGGGCGGAAGCCUGGUCCAGCGAUGCCGCGUGUGAGAAGAAGGCCUUCGGGUUGUGAAGCAGUUUUGUCCGGAAAGAAAUGGCUCUGGUUAAUACCUGGGGUCGGUGACGGUACCGGAAGAAUAAGGACCGGCUAACUACGUG
Molecule: ribosomal RNA, 490 nt
Filed under: uncultured bacterium
Lineage: Bacteria
Description: partial 16S ribosomal RNA
Rfam family: Bacterial small subunit ribosomal RNA
Source: RNAcentral